UGGAAGGAAAAAAAACGUAACAAGGUUUCCGUAGGUGAACCUGCGGAAGGAUCAUUACUGAGUGAGGGCCCUCUGGGUCCAACCUCCCACCCGUGUUUAUUAUACCUUGUUGCUUCGGCGGGCCCGCCGUCAGGCCGCCGGGGGGCUUCUGCCCCCGGGCCCGCGCCCGCCGAAGACAUCUCGAACUCUGUCUGAAGAUUGUAGUCUGAGUAUAAAUAUAAAUUAUUUAAAACUUUCAACAACGGAUCUCUUGGUUCCGGCAUCGAUGAAGAACGCAGCGAAAUGCGAUACGUAAUGUGAAUUGCAGAAUUCAGUGAAUCAUCGAGUCUUUGAACGCACAUUGCGCCCUCUGGUAUUCCGGAGGGCAUGCCUGUCCGAGCGUCAUUGCUGCCCUCAAGCACGGCUUGUGUGUUGGGCCCCGUCCUCCGAUCCCGGGGGACGGGCCCGAAAGGCAGCGGCGGCACCGCGUCCGGUCCUCGAGCGUAUGGGGCUUUGUCACCCGCUCUGUAGGCCCGGCCGGCGCUUGCCGAUCAACCAAAUUUUUAUCCAGGUUGACCUCGGAUCAGUAGAUCCAUCU
This 577-nucleotide ribosomal RNA is filed under the name Penicillium sp. PSF14. Its description in RNAcentral is "eukaryotic LSU rRNA". The stretch from base 231 to 384 matches the Rfam family "5.8S ribosomal RNA". The record is from RNAcentral. Lineage: Eukaryota; Fungi; Ascomycota; Eurotiomycetes; Eurotiales; Aspergillaceae.